ACUAAUUGGUUUAGUUACUCUCUAACGUCUAAACUUUCGACACAGCUUCGAAUAUUUCAAAGGAAAAAAGACUAAAAAAAAAUGUUCAAUCCAAAAUUGUUCGUGUCAUUUUUGAUCGGGUUCAUGGUUUUUGGGCUCGUCAUUUUCAACGUUAAUGGACACGAAGGUGGCAAAUCUAAGAAUGAAAACAAAGCUGAAGCAUCGUUCCCAAAACAAUUUGAAACUUUGAAAGAAUCCUUGGACCAUCAGGAUAUUUCAGAUCCGGC
Long non-coding RNA from Contarinia nasturtii (swede midge), 266 nucleotides. RefSeq lists it as uncharacterized. Lineage: Eukaryota; Metazoa; Arthropoda; Insecta; Diptera; Cecidomyiidae. The transcript is spliced from 2 exons. The record is from RefSeq and is a predicted model, not a curated record.